GAAUCAUCCUCAUUCAAUAGGUCGUAACGAACUAGGUCAGGUCGGGAACGAAGCAGCCUUAAGUUUUCUAUCUAUGUGGAUGGGGGUGCUUGAUA
RNAcentral lists this signal recognition particle RNA (95 nucleotides) under Candidatus Xianfuyuplasma coldseepsis. Its description in RNAcentral is "Xianfuyuplasma coldseepsis Bacterial small signal recognition particle RNA". It matches the Rfam family "Bacterial small signal recognition particle RNA". Rfam says of the family: The signal recognition particle (SRP) is a universally conserved ribonucleoprotein involved in the co-translational targeting of proteins to membranes. Archaeal SRP consists of a 7S RNA and homologues of the eukaryotic SRP19 and SRP54 proteins. In most bacteria, the SRP consists of a 4.5S RNA and the Ffh protein (a homologue of the eukaryotic SRP54 protein). The record is from Rfam by way of RNAcentral. Lineage: Bacteria; Bacillati; Mycoplasmatota; Mollicutes; Candidatus Izemoplasmatales; Candidatus Izemoplasmataceae.